This 112-nucleotide small RNA is filed under the name Agrobacterium albertimagni AOL15. RNAcentral's name for it is "EcpR1". It matches the Rfam family "EcpR1". Rfam says of the family: Perviously named SmelC291, SmrC10, or Sra33. According to its overproduction phenotype it was renamed Elongated Cell Phenotype RNA1. Induced by stress,EcpR1 negatively regulates cell cycle master regulatory genes dnaA and gcrA at post-transcriptional level by base pairing between its strongly conserved GC-rich loop and the target mRNAs. The record is from Rfam by way of RNAcentral. Lineage: Bacteria; Pseudomonadati; Pseudomonadota; Alphaproteobacteria; Hyphomicrobiales; Rhizobiaceae.
AUACCCCAUGAUGCUCAGGUCCGCCGCAUCUCCUGGGUCGUGGGGUCGGUCGGUUGGUAUGCAACGUCAAAAACGGUUCCUCGUGCCGUGUUGUGUGCCGACCGACCCCCUA